RNAcentral lists this ribosomal RNA (414 nucleotides) under uncultured bacterium. RNAcentral's name for it is "bacterial SSU rRNA". It matches the Rfam family "Bacterial small subunit ribosomal RNA", at positions 36 to 496 of the family's 1533-position model. The record is from RNAcentral.
CUGGCGGCACGCCUAAACAUGCAAGUCGAACGAAGUAGCAAUACUUAGUGGCAGACGGGUGAGUAACAUGUAGGUAUCUGCCCUUUGGCCUGGAAUAACACGAGGAAACUUGUGCUAAUACCGGAUAAGUCUUUACGGAGAAAGCUUUAUGCACCAUUGGAUGAGCCUGCACUUGAUUAGUUUGUUGGUGGGGUAAUGGCCUACCAAGACUGUGAUCAAUAGCUGAUUUGAGAGGAUGAUCAGCCACAUUGGGACUGAGACACGGCCCAAACUCCUACGGGAGGCAGCAGUGGGGAAUCUUGCACAAUGGAGGAAACUCUGAUGUAGCGAUGCCGCGUGAGUGAAGAAGGCCUUUGGGUUGUAAAGCUCUUUCGUCGGGGAAGAAAAUGACUGUACCCGAAUAAGAAGGUCCGG